UGGCCUCCUCCCUGCCUUUCAAAAAACCCUAACGUCCAUUUCUGGGUUUUGGUGUGUUUAACUUGUCACCGUUCAUUCAAGAGUGUGCGCCUAGCAGCAAGGCGACAGUGAUGGGCCUGAGAACGACAGACACAUCCAUGAAAGAAACGAAAGUCACCCUGAUUUAAAAAGCUCUCGACAAAAAUUCUUGACGUGUAUUCAACAAAUUCAACUGACUUCCAACACCAGGUCACGGCAGGUUCAAAGGAAAACAAGCGGGAAGAAGGCAGGACAGGCGGUUAUUAUUAAGGUGGUGGGAGCCCAGAUGACCACGUCUAACUCGAGGGCAGCGGCCAGCAUGAAGCCACAGCAGGAGGAGCCCUAGCUACCCGUGUGCGUCAUCUGGGAUCAAAACUGCUAGUGCGCCAGCCCGACACAACCAACGAAUCGGUGUCGGUGUUAAAAACGACUGCUAACGCUUUUUACUUUGUUUUGGACUAAAGCCAAGACUCGUAAAAGAAAAUCUUCUUUUUAUCUAUAGGAUCUAAUCUAAAUAAAACCAGGAAUAUGUGGGAACACCAAA
This is a long non-coding RNA of Suricata suricatta (meerkat), 562 nucleotides long. RefSeq lists it as uncharacterized. NCBI's taxonomy places the organism in Eukaryota, Metazoa, Chordata, Mammalia, Carnivora, Herpestidae. The record is from RefSeq and is a predicted model, not a curated record. The transcript has 3 exons.